This 451-nucleotide ribosomal RNA is filed under the name uncultured bacterium. RNAcentral's name for it is "partial 16S ribosomal RNA". It matches the Rfam family "Bacterial small subunit ribosomal RNA", at positions 354 to 796 of the family's 1533-position model. The record is from RNAcentral.
GUGGGGAAUAUUGGACAAUGGGGGGAACCCUGAUCCAGCCAUGCCGCGUGUGUGAAGAAGGCCUUUUGGUUGUAAAGCACUUUAAGCGAGGAGGAGGCUACCGAGAUUAAUACUCUUGGAUAGUGGACGUUACUCGCAGAAUAAGCACCGGCUAACUCUGUGCCAGCAGCCGCGGUAAUACAGAGGGUGCGAGCGUUAAUCGGCUUUACUGGGCGUAAAGCGUUCGUAGGCGGCUUUUGAAGUCGGAUGUGAAAUCCCUGAGCAUAACUUAGGAAUUGCAUUCGAUACUGGAAAGCUAGAGUAUGGGAGAGGAUGGUAGAAUUCCAGGUGUAGCGGUGAAAUGCGUAGAGAUCUGGAGGAAUACCGAUGGCGAAGGCAGCCAUCUGGCCUAAUACUGACACUGAGGUGCGAAAGCAUGGGGAGCAAACAGGAUUAGAAACCCUAGUAGUCC